This 148-nucleotide non-coding RNA is filed under the name Gorilla gorilla gorilla (western lowland gorilla). The record is from Rfam by way of RNAcentral. Lineage: Eukaryota; Metazoa; Chordata; Mammalia; Primates; Hominidae.
GCUGGGUGUGGUGGCUCACUCCUGUAGUCCCAGUUACUCGGGAGACUGAGGUGGGAGGAUUGCUUGAGCCCAGGAGCUCGAGGCUGCAGUGAGCAGUGACUGAGCCAUUGCACUCCAGCCUGGGCAACACAGCGAGACCCUGUCUCAA